Acanthosepion pharaonis is the source of this 110-nucleotide non-coding RNA. NCBI's taxonomy places the organism in Eukaryota, Metazoa, Mollusca, Cephalopoda, Sepiida, Sepiidae. The record is from the annotation of a GenBank genome assembly.
ACAGCUAUAUCACAUUGAAACACUGGUUCUCAUAUGAUCACUGGAGUUAAGCAAUGCUGAUCCUGGUCAGUAUCUAGAUGGGUGACCACUUGGAAUACCUGGUGCUGUAA